Molecule: ribosomal RNA, 250 nt
Filed under: uncultured bacterium
Lineage: Bacteria
Description: partial 16S ribosomal RNA
Rfam family: Bacterial small subunit ribosomal RNA
Source: RNAcentral
CGUAGGGCGAGCGUUGUCCGGAAUGACUGGGCGUAAAGGGUACGUAGGCGGCCAGGUAAGUCAGGUGUGAAAUUCUAGGGCUCAACCCUAGAUAGCACUUGAAACUGCUUGGCUUGAGUCGAGGAGAGGAAGGUGGAAUUCCUGGUGUAGCGGUGAAAUGCGUAGAUAUCAGGAGGAAUACCAGUGGCGAAGGCGACCUUCUGGCCUUGGACUGACGCUGAGGUACGAAAGCGUGGGAGCAAACAGGAUU